AAAAAAUAAAUAGUCCCGCGGUAUACCGCGGGUUAAAAUCUAGUUAAUG
RNAcentral lists this small RNA (49 nucleotides) under Arabidopsis thaliana (thale cress). RNAcentral describes it as "ATSL050950". Lineage: Eukaryota; Viridiplantae; Streptophyta; Magnoliopsida; Brassicales; Brassicaceae. The record is from RNAcentral.